Molecule: ribosomal RNA, 430 nt
Filed under: uncultured bacterium
Lineage: Bacteria
Description: bacterial SSU rRNA
Rfam family: Bacterial small subunit ribosomal RNA
Source: RNAcentral
GGACCCGCACAAGUAGUGGAGCAUGUGGUUUAAUUCGAAGAUACGCGCAGAACCUUACCAACACUUGACAUGUUCGUCGCGACUCUAAGAGAUUAGAGUUUUCGGUUCGGCCGGACGAAACACAGGUGCUGCAUGGCUGUCGUCAGCUCGUGUCGUGAGAUGUUGGGUUAAGUCCCGCAACGAGCGCAACCCUCACUUUUAGUUGCCAUCAUUAAGUUGGGCACUCUGAAAGAACUGCCAGUGAUAAGCUGGAGGAAGGUGGGGAUGACGUCAAGUCCUCAUGGCCCUUACGUGUUGGGCUACACACGUGCUACAAUGGUAUCUACAACAGGAAGCAAAACGGCGACGUUAAGCAAAUCCUUAAAAGAUACCUCAGUUCGGAUUGCACUCUGCAACUCGAGUGCAUGAAGCUGGAAUUACUAGUAAUCGU